This 106-nucleotide ribosomal RNA is filed under the name Pteropus alecto (black flying fox). Lineage: Eukaryota; Metazoa; Chordata; Mammalia; Chiroptera; Pteropodidae. The record is from RNAcentral.
GUCUAUGGUCAUGCCACCCUGACUGCCUCAUCUCAAAGCGAAGCGGAGUUGGGCCUGGUUAGUACUUGGAUGGGAUUCCACCUAGGAAGACCAGGUGCUUUAGGUG